Molecule: ribosomal RNA, 327 nt
Filed under: Triticum aestivum (bread wheat)
Lineage: Eukaryota; Viridiplantae; Streptophyta; Magnoliopsida; Poales; Poaceae
Description: partial small subunit ribosomal RNA
Source: RNAcentral
AUGUUUGUCGGUUUAGUGUGCAAGGUUUUCUGGCUCCAAGAUGAUGAUUGGCACAAGGGUUCCAUCACGGCCUACAUGGAACUAACCAAGAAUUCUGUGAAGUAUGAAGACCUUACCCUAGCUAAUGAAAGGAUUAAAUUUUCCAUUUCAUCCGAGGAAAUGAAGUGCCUGAACUUGAAAUUUGGAACAUCUAACCUGGAUAAGAAGGGAUGCGAUGAGCUACUUGCACUUGUUGUCAGCUUUCAUGACUACCAAGGUCUUGAUCCAGAUGAUGUAGUGUGGGCUAAAAUAACAGAUUCUCUAAACACAUGCUCCACAACACAAUGA